RNAcentral lists this ribosomal RNA (242 nucleotides) under uncultured bacterium. RNAcentral's name for it is "partial 16S ribosomal RNA". It matches the Rfam family "Bacterial small subunit ribosomal RNA", at positions 15 to 252 of the family's 1533-position model. The record is from RNAcentral.
GAUCCUGGCUCAGGAUGAACGCUGGCGGCGUGCUUAACACAUUCAAGUCGAACGAAGAAGAUCGGAGCUUGCUCCGAUCGGAUUAGUGGCGGACGGGUGAGUAACGCGUGAGUAACCUGCCUGCGAGAGGGGGAUAACAACGGGAAACUGUUGCUAAUACCGCAUAACGCAUCGACCCCGCAUGGGGAUGAUGCCAAAGGGAAACCGCUUGCAGAUGGACUCGCGUCUGAUUAGGUAGUUGG